AAUAAUAUUAGCCAUAUUUUUAUCAUGCUGAUUAAAAUUCCCGUUUGUCCUCCAACUAAGCGUAAAGCUUGUGUUAGGA
Long non-coding RNA from Maniola jurtina (meadow brown), 79 nucleotides. RefSeq lists it as uncharacterized. The transcript has 3 exons. Lineage: Eukaryota; Metazoa; Arthropoda; Insecta; Lepidoptera; Nymphalidae. The record is from RefSeq and is a predicted model, not a curated record.